Molecule: long non-coding RNA, 1590 nt
Filed under: Triticum aestivum (bread wheat)
Lineage: Eukaryota; Viridiplantae; Streptophyta; Magnoliopsida; Poales; Poaceae
Description: long non-coding RNA (TAES_LNC008182)
Source: RNAcentral
CUGCAUGGGAUUCGCUCGACCGGCCACCUUCGACCAUACGGACUUUUUACCCUGGCCGUGCUGCCCUCCACACCGGAGUCUAUGCAGCCGUGGAACCAGCCAGAGCUCUUGCCGCUGCCCCGUGGUAGAGCCCCUCAACCCUUCUGCCCUUUGCCCCGUCAUAGAGCGCGGUGAGUUGGUCGGCGUGGCGUGAAGUAAGGAUAUAUAAUUUUUCUUAUGUUGUGCCAACAUCACUAUAGCCGGAAGCUUGUGCGAUUUCAUUUCAAUUGGCAAGGUGAACUCCUCUAUCAUUGGCUUCAGUGUUCCUGUUAGCAUGGUAAAUGGGAUUCUUUCCCAAUUAUUGAAGGCCACCGUUAUUACUGAUAUAUAUUUCACUUGACCGUGAAUCAUAUUAGAAUUGGAUGAUUUGCCCCACGGCAUUUCACUCAUAUCUGUGCACUCGGUUUUGUUCAGAGAUUUUUGAUAUGUAUAUACUCACAGGAGAAGCCCACCGGUCCAUCUCUUUGUGUCUUUUACCUGUUGAUCUUCCAUUGUUGUGUUAAUCAAAGCGGAGCAUUACAGAGUUCUCUCCUAAAGGUACGGCAUUCCAAAUCAUAUUCUGGUUUCACAUUAACAAUAUAUGUUCAUUCCCUAUUGUUGUGACCUCCAUGGUAACCAUUGCGACCUAAUUCUAGCAUAUAAUCACCGGUUAUCUUUGUUCUCUAUUUUGCAUCACUAGCUGGAAAUAGUUCAAUAUGUCAAUUCACUGACUGUUCAUAUGUAAAUUUCUGUCUAAUAUAUUCAAUUUUCAUUUUUUUUAUCGGUGCAGACUCAUGAUAUUCAAUUUUUCUAACUGUGAUCAUCGAUUUCCCAACGAGUAGUAACGUGGGUAUUCUAACCUUCCUCUUUUCUAGAUCUGACAUUUCUAAGUAAUGUUCCCUUUUUACUGUUGUCAAAGUGUUCUUAAUGAAAUCUUUAAAAAGCCACAACAACGAAGGCAUUUUCCUUUGCCACAAGGCCAAUGCCAAUCAAGUUGUAUUAACUCGACCAUGUAUGUUUUUAUUUUUUACUCGUUCUCUUGAUAAUUUUGUGCCCUUUCACUGUUUUUAGGCGAGUGAUCUUUCUGUGUCACUGCAGCAUUUUACAUUCAUCUAUGCUGAAAAUAAAUGUAGAGCGCAGUAGUGGGAUGAAUUCUUACCCCACUAUGCUUGGUGAUGCAUAUGUCCUUUUCCACCAUGGUCUGAUGUCAUGUGAUCCAUCUUUUUGUAGGGAAUAAUAAUCCAUAUAUUGCUCUAUGAUAUAAUGGCGAGCUUUUUUGUUCUUAAUUAUGAGAUUUAUCCCCUAACAUUUAUUUUUGCUUAUCCGACAGUGUGCUCCUGGUUCUAUGGUGUGGCUUAGGCGUUGGUGGACAUACUAAGAGGAAUAUAACCAUGUAGCCAAUUUGUAUAGCUCAAUUCCUUGCCAUCUUCGAUAAAUUAGUGCUACCAAACUUUCAUGAUCAAGGAUUAUCAACAAUUUGUUUAUGUUCAUGUUCCAACUUUUUGAGAUCUAGAUGGUCAUGUUGAGAAAUAUACUUGUACCUUCUUGGGAUAGAUGAUUUGCCUUGAAAUA